This 88-nucleotide transfer RNA is filed under the name Mycolicibacterium phocaicum. It matches the Rfam family "tRNA". Rfam says of the family: Transfer RNA (tRNA) molecules are approximately 80 nucleotides in length. The record is from RNAcentral. RNAcentral also lists the same sequence under 3 other names. Lineage: Bacteria; Bacillati; Actinomycetota; Actinomycetes; Mycobacteriales; Mycobacteriaceae.
GGAGGCGUGGCAGAACGGUAAUGCAGCGGCUUGCUAAGCCGUGGCCGCUGUCCAGCGGUUGUGGGUUCAACUCCCGCCGCCUCCGCCA